GGGCCUUUAGCUCAAUCGGUUAGAGCACGCGACUCAUAAUCGCUUGGUUGCCGGUUCAAGUCCGGCAGGGCCCACCA
Molecule: transfer RNA, 77 nt
Filed under: Nevskiaceae bacterium
Lineage: Bacteria; Pseudomonadati; Pseudomonadota; Gammaproteobacteria; Nevskiales; Nevskiaceae
Description: Sinobacteraceae bacterium tRNA-Met
Rfam family: tRNA
About the family: Transfer RNA (tRNA) molecules are approximately 80 nucleotides in length. Their secondary structure includes four short double-helical elements and three loops (D, anti-codon, and T loops).
Source: RNAcentral